UCCCUGGUGGCUCAGAUGGUAAAGCGUCUGCCUACAAUGCAGGAGACCCUGGUUUGAUCCCUGGGUUGGGAA
Molecule: transfer RNA, 72 nt
Filed under: Bos taurus (domestic cattle)
Lineage: Eukaryota; Metazoa; Chordata; Mammalia; Artiodactyla; Bovidae
Also listed under: 2 other names
Rfam family: tRNA
About the family: Transfer RNA (tRNA) molecules are approximately 80 nucleotides in length.
Source: Rfam by way of RNAcentral